AGCAGCUGCCACAGUAGCAAACACCAGCAUAGAAAUGGCAACUUACCACAUUCGGAAGACGCCGGGAACACUGAAUUGCUUAGGACCCUUGCAUGGAACCCUCCUAGAACACACCAAGAGCUGAAAUCUUGCAUGAUAAGAUGUGUAGAAGUCGAGGAAAGCAGAAGGGUUGCUAAUGCAUGGUCCGACCGUCGGACGUCUUCCGGAUGAGCGUCAACCAAAUGUGGUUCAAGCGGAAGAAAUCAAUUGCUGCCUCAAAGAGCUAUUCUUUACCAUUUAAAUCAUGCAUGCUCGUUUGUAGAAACUGUCAUUAAGAUUUUAUGUAUCUCCUUGUACUAGGAAAAUUACCUUUCAACCAUGAUUGUUUCAGGGGGCCUCAAGUAGGCAAGCAAAC
RNAcentral lists this long non-coding RNA (394 nucleotides) under Linum usitatissimum (flax). RNAcentral describes it as "long non-coding RNA (LUSI_LNC006163)". The record is from RNAcentral. Lineage: Eukaryota; Viridiplantae; Streptophyta; Magnoliopsida; Malpighiales; Linaceae.